Molecule: ribosomal RNA, 403 nt
Filed under: Amphithrax caboverdianus
Lineage: Eukaryota; Metazoa; Arthropoda; Malacostraca; Decapoda; Mithracidae
Description: partial 16S ribosomal RNA
Rfam family: Bacterial large subunit ribosomal RNA
Source: RNAcentral
CAUAAUCAUUAGCUUUUUAAUUGGGAGCUUGUAUGAAUGGUUAAACAAAAGAAAUACUGUCUCUUUUUUAUUUUUUGAACUUAACUUUUAAGUGAAAAGGCUUAAAUUUUUCAAGGGGACGAUAAGACCCUAUAAAGCUUUAUAAAUAAUUAGUGGUUUUUUGAAUAAAUAAAAAAAAUAUCUGAUUAUUUAUUGUGUUGGGGCGACACGGAUAUAAAUAAAAGCAACUAUCAGGAGUAAAAACAUUUAUAAAUGAAGACAGGAAUGAUCCUUUAAUAAUGAUUAAAAGAUAAAGUUACUUUAGGGAUAACAGCGUUAUUUUUUUUGAGAGUUCUUAUCGAAAAAAGAGUUUGCGACCUCGAUGUUGAAUCAUAAAAUCUUUACAAUGCAGCAGUUGUAAAAG